UAAUAAAGCUGAAAUAUCCCCUUAUAUUUCUUCGAGUGAAGUCUCGCCUUUAAUCAUCCAUCCAUAUGUAGUCAUAAACAAUUGAUAAAAGGAGCAGUAUGCUUAGGGAAAAUAUUUUUUCUGUGCACAACACUCUAAUAAACACAGUACAGGUUGAUUAAAAAUUAGGCAUCUAUAUAAAGUUCUUGUUUGGUUCUACCCGAAUGCUGCUAAAUGUGAUGGUGGAGUUGCUGCUUGUGAAGAUGCCUUUUCACUCAUCGACUUUACCCACUCACUCCUUCAGCUCCUAAUCCUGCCGGUUUGAGCCACUACUUUGCCUAAUAUUCUCCUACCAAAAGGAACAACAUAUUCACGCAUCCGUUCAGUCAGUUAUGAAAAUUAUGAUAAGCAGGAGAGGCUCGACUAUGAAUCAAUCGAUCCAUGCCCCCUUACCGAGGUGGAACUCAUGGUGAUAUGAGAGACUCAUCAUCAUCAAUGUCUCCGCACAGCCACAAUGAGGCAGGUUCAUACAUC
This 513-nucleotide long non-coding RNA is filed under the name Hordeum vulgare. RNAcentral describes it as "long non-coding RNA (HVUL_LNC001731)". The record is from RNAcentral. Lineage: Eukaryota; Viridiplantae; Streptophyta; Magnoliopsida; Poales; Poaceae.